UGCAGUAGGGAAUAUUGCACAAUGGGGCGAAAGCCUGAUGCAGCAACGCCGCGUGUACGAUGAAGACCGUUCGGGUUGUAAAGUACUUUUCUGAAGGACGAGGAAGGACGGUACUUCAGGAAUAAGGGAUCGGCUAACUACGUGCCAGCAGCCGCGGUAAUACGUAGGAUCCGAGCGUUAUCCGAAUUUACUGGGCGUAAAGCGUGUGUAGGCGGUCUGAUAAGUUGGAUGUGAAAGCUCCCGGCUCAACUGGGAGAGGCCGUUCAAAACUAUCAGACUAGAGGACGGUAGAGGGAGGUAGAAUUCCCGGUGUAGUAGUGAAAUGCGUAGAUUAUCGGGAGGAAUACCAGUGGCGAAGGCGGCCUCCUGGACCGUUCCUGACGCUCAGACACGAAAGCUAGGGGAGCGAACGGGAUUAGAAACCCCGGUAGUCCUAGCUGUAAACGAUGCAAACUUGGUGUCGGUGGGGUAAAAUCCGCCGGUGCCGAAGCUAACGCGAUAAGUUUGCCGCCUGGGGACUACGGCCGCAAGGUUA
Molecule: ribosomal RNA, 535 nt
Filed under: uncultured Chloroflexota bacterium
Lineage: Bacteria; Bacillati; Chloroflexota
Description: bacterial SSU rRNA
Rfam family: Bacterial small subunit ribosomal RNA
Source: RNAcentral